UGAACGCUAGCGGCAGGCUUAACACAUGCAAGUCGAGGGGCAUCGAGAGUAGCAAUACUUGUCGGCGACCGGCGCAAGGGUGCGUAACACGUGAGCAACAUACCCGUUUCAGGAGGAUAACCGGAGGAAACUCUGCCUAAUACUCCAUGACAUCAUCAAACGGCAUCGUUUGAUGAUUAAAGAUUUAUCGGAAACGGCUUGGCUCGCGGGACAUUAGCUCGUUGGUGAGGUAACGGCUCACCAAGGCGACGAUGUCUAGGGGUUCUGAGAGGAAGGUCCCCCACACUGGAACUGAGACACGGUCCAGACUCCUACGGGAGGCAGCAGUGAGGAAUAUUGGACAAUGGUCGGAAGACUGAUCCAGCCAUGCCGCGUGAAGGUUACUGUCCUAUGGAUAUUAAACUUCUUUUGUAUGAGAGCAAUAAGGUGCACGUGUGCACCGAUGAGAGUAUCAUACGAAUAAGCAUCGGCUAACUCCGUG
This 481-nucleotide ribosomal RNA is filed under the name uncultured bacterium. Its description in RNAcentral is "bacterial SSU rRNA". It matches the Rfam family "Bacterial small subunit ribosomal RNA", at positions 30 to 507 of the family's 1533-position model. The record is from RNAcentral.